RNAcentral lists this ribosomal RNA (4406 nucleotides) under Triticum aestivum (bread wheat). RNAcentral's name for it is "partial small subunit ribosomal RNA". The stretch from base 843 to 929 matches the Rfam family "MIR1120/MIR1122 microRNA precursor family". The record is from RNAcentral. Lineage: Eukaryota; Viridiplantae; Streptophyta; Magnoliopsida; Poales; Poaceae.
CUUGAAUGCUGCUUCCGCUGACAAAACGAAAUGUAUAUAUCCUAUGGUGUAUCUUGAUCAAAGGUGCAAGUACGUAUCAGUCCGAUGCACCCUCUCGAUCUCCUUUUAUCUUACCGGAGUCGAAUACUGUGAGUAGAUUCACAAAGCACACAGUUUCCUGAAGAAUUUUGUGGCGAAAAAAUUAGCUAGGGUCUCUUGGUCGUGAUCUGUUGAGGACGGCCGUGUUCUCAUGCCGUGCAGGUAGAGGUAGCUGCCGAUUCUCCUACGGUCCUUUAGGGCUUGUUCUGAAUUGUUUUACCUGUCAACAGGUCUCGAUCAGAUUGUCCUUGGUGUAUCAACCAUGCCACCAUGCCUGCUAGCAUCAACUAUCAGAAUUAAUUAUUGGCAAGGAUCCCAAGCUCUCUAGCAAUAAUAAUUAAUAAAAGUGGUGACUGGUGAGCACAUAUGUUGUGCAUAAAAAUUUUAUAAAUAAGCUGACUGGUGAGUAAAGACACUUCUCGUUGCCGUGCUUCAUUUGCACACUGAAACAUGACGGCCACGCCAAGUUUCCUAAAGUUCCUCAAGGGCUGGUGAGAGCAAUUAUUGGUUAGGUAAGAGAAGCAAUUAUUGCAAGAGCUUCGGGAUCUGAUUUGCAAGAUUAAUAACAGGUACACACAAGUACACAAAUAAGCAUAGAAACUUUAACAGACCUGAGCCUGGGAGUGCUUCUCAUCAGAAGUAUGGGAUCGGCGAACGGCAGCUCUUCUCAACAAAGCAGCAGCUUACCAUAGCAGGUAUGCAUAAGUUAUUUUCGUUAAUUAAUCUGCAUGUAUCAGCCUCCAUAGUUUGCUGACUGGUGAGUAGUACUUCCUCUGUAAACUAAUAUAAGAGCGUUUAGAUCACUAGUUGAGUGAUCUAAACGCUCUUAUAUUAGUUUACAGAGGGAGUACUAAAGAGCAAGGACACUUCUCGUUGCCGUGCUUCAUCUGCACACUGAAACAUGACGGCCACGCCAUGUUUCCCGAAGUUUCUCAAGGGCUGGUGAGAGCAAUUAUUGGUUUGGUACACAGAUACACAUCUUGUGAACAUAGAAACUUUAACAGACCUGAGCCUGGGAGUGCUUCUCAUCAGAAGUAUGGGACCGGCGAACGGCAGCUCUUCUCAACAAAGCAGCGGCUUACCAUAGCAGGCUGGGCCACAGAAAUUAUCUGAAGACACACAGGCUACCUGCUGUGCAACAUAUCUGUCUCAGCUCUGACUCGAGGAGCAAUGGCCGAGGUUGUGAUUCUCUCGGCAGUGGCAAAGAUCGGUGUAGCUCUGGGGAAUGAAGCAAUGAACCAGGCUACUUUACAGUUCAAUAACUUUAUAACACAGCUAACAGAGCUUCAAGGAAGCAUGGGUCGCAUCAGAAGGGAGCUCAGAUUGAUGCAUGAAUAUCUUUGCCGAAUGGACAUACGGAAUCGCAACAAUCAGACAUAUGAAAUCUGGGUGGAGGAGGUGAGAAUGUUUGUUCAUGGGAUUGAGGAUAUUGUGGAUGAGUAUUUGCAUCUUGUUGGUCAGAAACAUGACAGUGGAUGGAGUGCCUGUCUGAAGAAAGGAUUUAAACAACCAAAUGUUUUCUUCUCUUUAAACAGGAUAGCUUCUUUGGUUAAGGAAGCGGAGGUCAAUCUUGUGCACCUGUUCCAGGCUAAAGAUCGAUGGGUGUCAAUGGUAGAUAGUGGGUAUAUGAAUGACUCAAGUUACAUUGUUGAGAGGUCUCAGCAUCUAGCAAGCACUUCACGUUCCCUUGCCGAAGAAGAUCUCGUGGAGGUUGAUGGAAACAGAAAAAAGCUUGAGCAGUGGUUGGCAGGUGAUGAGUUGGAACGCUCUGUGAUAGUGCUGCAUGGUAUGGGAGGGCUUGGUAAAACAACUUUGGCUGCAAAUGUCUACAGGAAGGAAAGUGAAAAUUUUGAUUGCCACUGUUGGGUCUCUGUCUCUCAAACUUAUUCCAGAGAAGAUGUUUUGAAAAAAUUAAUCAAGGAGCUUUUCAAAGAUAAAGCCAUUGUUCCAUCUAAUAUUGAGACCAUGGACAUCAUAAGCCUUGAAGAGGCACUGAAGAAUUUUUUAGAGCAGCGCAAGUAUUUGAUCAUGCUGGAUGAUGUUUGGACUCCUGAAGCAUUCCAUGAUCUUUCUGGGGUGGUUAUUCGUAACAAGAAGGGCAGCAGAGUUGUAAUCACAACCAGGGAAGGCAAUGUUGCUGGACUUGCUUCUCAAGGACAGGUCUUAACACUAAAACCUCUAUCAAAGGAUGGAUCAUGGGAACUCUUCUGUAAGACAGUUUUUCCCAUAGAUACAAAAUGUGAGUGUCCCACAGAACUGACAGAAUUAGCACAUGAAGUGGUUGACAAGUGUAAAGGCAUACCCCUUGCAAUUGUCUCUAUUGGCAAGCUCCUCUUUGUACGUGACAAGACCAAAGAGGAACUGAAGCGAAUACAUGACCAGCUCGACUGGGAGCUAAUUAACAAUCCAAGCUUGGAACAUGUCAGGAAUAUCCUUUAUUUGAGUUACUUGUACCUUCCGACAUACUUGAAAAGUUGUUUUCUAUACUGCAGCUUGUUCCCAGAGGACUAUCUUUUCAAAAGGAAAAAGCUGAUACGGUUGUGGGUAGCAGAGGGCUUCGUCAUGGGAAGGGGUGAAAGCACAAUGGAGGAAGUGGCUGAAGGUUAUCUAGAAGAGUUGGUUCACAGAAAUAUGCUUCAAGUUGAUACAAGAAACCCAUUUGGUAGGAUAAAAUCAUUCCGGAUGCAUGAUAUUGUACGUGAGUUGGCAGUAGAUUUGUGUCGCCGGGAAUGCUUUGGUGUUGUUUAUGAGGAGGAUAAAUACAUGGAAUCUCUUGAUGAGUCGGAUGCACGUCGACUGGUAAUACACAAAAUGAGCAAGGAUAUUUAUCAGUCAGUAUCAGGUGUACACCGUCUCCGCUCUGUUAUCGCAUUGGACAUCAAUAUUCCAUCAUCCACUCUACUGCCUCUAAUAGCAAAGAGGUCCAGAUAUAUUUCGGUGCUGGAGUUAAGUGGCCUACCCAUUGAGAAGGUUCCAGAUGGUAUUGGAGAUCUUUUCAAUCUCCGCUAUUUGGGUCUGCGUGGUUCAAAAGUGAAGCUCCUUCCCAGGUCUAUCGAGAAACUUUCAAGUUUGUUGACACUGGACCUUUCAGGGUCUGGCAUGAAGGAGCUGCCUAGAGGCAUUGGUGAACUAAAAAAGCUUAGGCAGUUAUUCACUGACAAAGCUAGUGAUCGAUUUAGGAGAGAUUUCCGGUGCGGCGGUGGUGUAUGCAUCCCCAAGGGCCUUGAGAACCUGACAAGUCUGCAGACACUAGUAUCCUUGGAAGCGCAGGAUGAGUCGGUUAGACAGUUGGGGGAGCUGAGGCAACUGAGAAGCUUGGAGAUAUGGAAUGUGAAAGGAACCUACUGUGGACAUAUAUGUGCUGCUCUAGCCGAGAUGCGACAUCUUUCCUACCUACAUGUGAAUGCAAGCCAAGACAAUGAGGUUCUCCGGUUGAGUGGUCUACCCCCAAAUCUGCAAAGGCUUAGCUUGACUGGUCGAUUAGCGGAAGGCACAUUGGGAGAGUCCCCUCUCUUCCUAACUUCGGGGCGGAACCUGUAUUCACUGUCUCUAUCUUGGUCUCAGAUGAUAGAGGACCCCUUACCAUCCCUUUCUCGAUUGUCAAAUUUGAUGGACCUGAUGCUCACCAGAGCGUGCAGCGGAAAGCAGAUGACAUUUCUUGCCGGGUGGUUCCCCAAGCUAAAAACCCUGAGAUUGAGAGACCUGCCAAAUUUGGAGGUUCUAGAGAUGAAGGAAGGUGCCGUGGUGAGCCUCGAAAUAUUAACACUAGUCAACCUUGAAGGCAUGGUGGAGGUCCCACCUGGCAUAGAGUUCCUCGCGCAUGUAAAGUAUAUUUCGUUCCGGGAAAUCACCAGCGAGUUUUUGACUUCGCUGCGACAAUGUCCUAGAACUCAAGGGGUGCACUGGCGGCAUACUCUCAGGUGACAUUGACCCUGCUGGCCUCGAAAUGAGUAUGUAAGCCACUCAACUGCAGACUACUGUUCCACUACCAGUUUCCUCGUGUAACUUCACCUUCAUGUUUUUAUUGGUUUGCUUGUCGGAAGAAAGGAUACCCUACAAAUACUCCACUUUCCCUACUUGUAGUCACUACUACUGUUUUUGUGAUUGUGGAUCAUGGUAUUGUCUAUUUAUUCUGGUUUUGUCUGUGAGUUACAGUAUAUAUGUGCUCAUCCUGUUACCAAAGGAAGCUUGAGCAGUUGAGCUUGCUUCCUUUAACACUCUUUAUUUGUUUAUAGCUUACCUUGUUGCUAGUUAUUUUUAUUGAUGCUGUACAUUACUGAAGUUGGCUUGACAAAAUUCACAGCAAGUUUGUAGUAUUAUGAAAACAA